CCUACGGGAGGCAGCAGUGGGGAAUAUUGGUCAAUGGGGGGAACCCUGAACCAGCAACGCCGCGUGGAGGAUGAAGGAUUUCGGAAUGUAAAACUCUUUUAGUAGAGAAGAAAAUGACGGUACCUGACGAAUAAGCACCGGCUAACUCCGUGACAGCAGCCGCGGUAAUACGGAGGGUGCAAGCGUUAUCCGGAUUUACUGGGCGUAAAGGGGGCGUAGGCGGUGUAGAAAGUCAGAUGUGAAAUCUCGGGGCUUAACCCCGGAACUGCCUUUGAAACUGUUGAACUAGAGUAUAGGAGAGGUAGGCGGAAUGCAUGGUGUAGCGGUGAAAUGCGUAGAGAUCA
This 344-nucleotide ribosomal RNA is filed under the name uncultured bacterium. Its description in RNAcentral is "partial 16S ribosomal RNA". It matches the Rfam family "Bacterial small subunit ribosomal RNA", at positions 338 to 699 of the family's 1533-position model. The record is from RNAcentral.